GUGCUCGCUUCAGCAGCACAUAUACUAAAAUUGGAACAAUACAGAGAUUAACAUGGCCCCUGCGCAAGGAUGACACGCAAGUUCAUGAUGUGUUCCCUAUUCCU
Colobus angolensis palliatus is the source of this 104-nucleotide small nuclear RNA. The record is from Ensembl. Lineage: Eukaryota; Metazoa; Chordata; Mammalia; Primates; Cercopithecidae.